GACGGAGGGUGCUAGCGUUGUUCGGAAUGACUGGGCGUAAAGGGCGCGUAGGCGGCCGCUUGCGUCGGAUGUGAAAGCCCGGGGCUCAACCCCGGAACUGCCUUUAAGACUGCAUCGCUAGAAUUGUGGAGAGGUGAGUGGAAUUCCGAGUGUAGAGGUGAAAUUCGUAGAUAUUCGGAAGAACACCAGUGGCGAAGGCGGCCCACUGGAUCGGUACUGACGCUGAGGUGCGAAAGCGUGGGGAGCAAACAGG
RNAcentral lists this ribosomal RNA (253 nucleotides) under uncultured bacterium. Its description in RNAcentral is "partial 16S ribosomal RNA". It matches the Rfam family "Bacterial small subunit ribosomal RNA", at positions 524 to 776 of the family's 1533-position model. The record is from RNAcentral.